AGUCACUGACAUUAGAUACCCGUGUAGUCCCAGCCGUAAACUAUGCGCGUUAGGUGUACUGGUGACCACGAGUCACCGGGGUGCCGAAGGGAAACCGUGAAACGUGCCGCCUGGGGAGUACGUCCGCAAGGAUGAAACUUAAAGGAAUUGGCGGGGGAGCACCGCAACGGGAGGAGCGUGCGGUUUAAUUGGAUUCAACACCGUAAAACUCACCAGGGAAGACUGUUACAUGAAGGCCGAGAUGUAAGACUCUGCUAGAUUUUCAG
This 266-nucleotide ribosomal RNA is filed under the name uncultured archaeon. RNAcentral's name for it is "partial 16S ribosomal RNA". It matches the Rfam family "Archaeal small subunit ribosomal RNA", at positions 717 to 982 of the family's 1478-position model. The record is from RNAcentral.